GUGAGGAAUAUUGGUCAAUGGGCGUAAGCCUGAACCAGCCAAGUAGCGUGAAGGACGACGGCCCUACGGGUUGUAAACUUCUUUUAUAAGGGAAUAAAGUGCGUUACGUGUAAUGUUUUGUAUGUACCUUAUGAAUAAGCAUCGGCUAAUUCCGUGCCAGCAGCCGCGGUAAUACGGAAGAUGCGAGCGUUAUCCGGCUUUAUUGGGUUUAAAGGGAGCGUAGGCGGGCUUUUAAGUCAGCGGUGAAAUGUCGUGGCUCAACCAUGUCAAGCCGGUGAAGCUGUAAGCCUUGAGUCUGCACAGGGCACAUGGAAUUCGUGGUGUAGCGGUGAGAUGCUUAGAUAUCACGAAGAACUCCGAUCGCGAAGGCAUUGUGCCGGGGCAGCACUGACGCUGAGGCUCGAAAGUGCGGGUAUCAAACAGGAUUAGAAACCCCGGUAGUCC
RNAcentral lists this ribosomal RNA (444 nucleotides) under uncultured bacterium. Its description in RNAcentral is "partial 16S ribosomal RNA". It matches the Rfam family "Bacterial small subunit ribosomal RNA", at positions 354 to 796 of the family's 1533-position model. The record is from RNAcentral.